AUGGACAAGAAUUUCAGUGCACGGCAAGGGGAAAUAUAUUCUACAGCACAAAGAUAUAUUUCUAUUACGAUAUACAAUAUGUUCAAAAUUUGUUGCUCCAAUGGUUGCGUAUCUACUGGUUGUCUUGCUAUCAGAAUCCUAUUCAAAACAGAGAAACUUUGCUUGAGAAUGUUAGUGCAUGUCAGGGACAAAAAUAUUCUGUUCCAAACAAGCUUGUAUCUUUUCAUAAUCACAUACAAAUUUUGUUCAAACUAUAGUGCUAGCUUGUUUAUUUGGUUAUUACUUCUUUGCUAUCAGGCUAUUGUCGAGACCACCAAAACAACAAAUGGUGCUAAUGCAUGCAAUAAGAGUGCUCGAAGUGGUUCGCUAAGUUGGAUGGAUGCCAAUGAACAACUUGCAAGAACUAAAGUAUUCUCGAAGAGCCUAAAAAAUCAUAACAUGGGCGUAGCUCUAGCUACAAUGGUAAGUUCUGAUCCUAAAUUUAGACUUGAUGGUCCUGAAAUUAGAAAUUAA
This 513-nucleotide ribosomal RNA is filed under the name Triticum aestivum (bread wheat). RNAcentral's name for it is "partial small subunit ribosomal RNA". The record is from RNAcentral. Lineage: Eukaryota; Viridiplantae; Streptophyta; Magnoliopsida; Poales; Poaceae.